GUGCUUGCUUCGGCAGCACAUACACUAAAAUUGGAAACGAUACAAGAGAAGAUUAGCAUGGCCCCUGCGCAAGGAUGACACGCAAAAAUGCAAUGAGCUCAUUCUUGUG
This is a small nuclear RNA of Ochotona princeps (American pika), 109 nucleotides long. Lineage: Eukaryota; Metazoa; Chordata; Mammalia; Lagomorpha; Ochotonidae. The record is from Ensembl.